RNAcentral lists this ribosomal RNA (1479 nucleotides) under Cyanobium sp. NS01. RNAcentral's name for it is "bacterial SSU rRNA". It matches the Rfam family "Bacterial small subunit ribosomal RNA". The record is from RNAcentral. Lineage: Bacteria; Bacillati; Cyanobacteriota; Cyanophyceae; Synechococcales; Prochlorococcaceae.
AGAGUUUGAUCCUGGCUCAGGAUGAACGCUGGCGGCGUGCUUAACACAUGCAAGUCGAACGAGCCUUCGGGCUAGUGGCGGACGGGUGAGUAACGCGUGAGAAUCUGCCCUCAGGAGGGGGAUAACGGCUGGAAACGGCCGCUAAUACCCCAUAUGCCGCGAGGUGAAAUGAGAAAUCGCCUGAGGAUGAGCUCGCGUCUGAUUAGCUAGUUGGUGGGGUAAGAGCCUACCAAGGCAUCGAUCAGUAGCUGGUCUGAGAGGAUGAUCAGCCACACUGGGACUGAGACACGGCCCAGACUCCUACGGGAGGCAGCAGUGGGGAAUUUUCCGCAAUGGGCGCAAGCCUGACGGAGCAACGCCGCGUGAGGGAUGAAGGCCUCUGGGCUGUAAACCUCUUUUCUCAAGGAAGAAGAACUGACGGUACUUGAGGAAUAAGCCACGGCUAAUUCCGUGCCAGCAGCCGCGGUAAUACGGGAGUGGCAAGCGUUAUCCGGAAUUAUUGGGCGUAAAGCGUCCGCAGGCGGUCUUGAAAGUCUGUUGUUAAAGCGUGGAGCUCAACUCCAUUUCAGCAAUGGAAACUAGAAGACUAGAGUGUGGUAGGGGCAGAGGGAAUUCCCGGUGUAGCGGUGAAAUGCGUAGAUAUCGGGAAGAACACCAGUGGCGAAGGCGCUCUGCUGGGCCAUAACUGACGCUCAUGGACGAAAGCCAGGGGAGCGAAAGGGAUUAGAUACCCCUGUAGUCCUGGCCGUAAACGAUGAACACUAGGUGUCGGGGGAAUCGACCCCCUCGGUGUCGUAGCCAACGCGUUAAGUGUUCCGCCUGGGGAGUACGCACGCAAGUGUGAAACUCAAAGGAAUUGACGGGGGCCCGCACAAGCGGUGGAGUAUGUGGUUUAAUUCGAUGCAACGCGAAGAACCUUACCAGGGUUUGACAUCCUGCGAAUCUUUUGGAAACAGAAGAGUGCCUUCGGGAGCGCAGAGACAGGUGGUGCAUGGCUGUCGUCAGCUCGUGUCGUGAGAUGUUGGGUUAAGUCCCGCAACGAGCGCAACCCACGUCUUUAGUUGCCAGCAUUGAGUUGGGCACUCUAGAGAGACCGCCGGUGAUAAACCGGAGGAAGGUGUGGAUGACGUCAAGUCAUCAUGCCCCUUACAUCCUGGGCUACACACGUACUACAAUGCUACGGACAGAGGGCAGCAAACUCGCGAGAGCUAGCAAAUCCCAUAAACCGUGGCUCAGUUCAGAUCGUAGGCUGCAACUCGCCUACGUGAAGGAGGAAUCGCUAGUAAUCGCAGGUCAGCAUACUGCGGUGAAUACGUUCCCGGGCCUUGUACACACCGCCCGUCACACCAUGGAAGUUGGCCAUGCCCGAAGUCGUUACUCCAACCCUUGUGGAGGAGGACGCCGAAGGUGGGGCUGAUGACUGGGGUGAAGUCGUAACAAGGUAGCCGUACCGGAAGGUGCGGCUGGAUCACCUCCUAA